UUGAAAGUAAUGUUCUAUUGAAUUGAAAUGCAGAAAAGAAUUACAGAAAUGGAAAUGAUUACAAGACUCCUUUCCUCACUCACUAUUUGCCUGCCUACUUUGCCUCUCCUCGUUCUUAUUUAUAGCCAAUUCCUAACUACUUUUCCCCCUGCCACUUGCUUCUUAACAGAAUUCUGUUUCUCCUUCUCCCGCCUACUGCCUUCCUCCCUUCUUGAAUCUUGUAGAAUAUGUGAACCGUAUUGGGGGUUUAUCAAUACCCCCGGGGUCCAAAGACACCUUAUCCUCAAGGUGGAAGUCAGGGAAGUGUUGAAGAAUCAAUUCCACUGAUUCCCAUGUAGCAUCCGAUGAAGGUAAAUCUUUCCACUGUAUAAGCACUUCCUUGCUUGGGGCCUGCAAUGUUGCUGACCUCUGAACCCCCACGACCAGUUCAAGCUCCACAACCCACUCCAGAUUCUCGGUUAAAUGGGGAGGGAGCAGUUGACUAACUUCGUUUGACCCCAAAGCCUUUCUCAGCUAUGAUACAUGGAAGACGGUGUAUAGCUGCAGCAGGAGGUAGUCGUCAGUGGUAAGC
This 571-nucleotide long non-coding RNA is filed under the name Olea europaea (common olive). Its description in RNAcentral is "long non-coding RNA (OEUR_LNC011489)". The record is from RNAcentral. Lineage: Eukaryota; Viridiplantae; Streptophyta; Magnoliopsida; Lamiales; Oleaceae.